RNAcentral lists this transfer RNA (69 nucleotides) under Prolixibacteraceae bacterium. Its description in RNAcentral is "tRNA-Ser". It matches the Rfam family "tRNA". Rfam says of the family: Transfer RNA (tRNA) molecules are approximately 80 nucleotides in length. Their secondary structure includes four short double-helical elements and three loops (D, anti-codon, and T loops). Lineage: Bacteria; Pseudomonadati; Bacteroidota; Bacteroidia; Marinilabiliales; Prolixibacteraceae. The record is from RNAcentral.
GGAUAGGUGCAGGAGUGGUUUAACUGGCACGCCUGGAAAGCGUGNNGGGUUCGAAUCCCCCCCUCUCCG